GACGAACGCUGGCGGCAUGCCUAACACAUGCAAGUCGAGCGAAGGCUUCGGCCUUAGUGGCGCACGGGUGCGUAACGCGUGGGAAUCUGCCCUUAGGUUCGGAAUAACAGUUAGAAAUGACUGCUAAUACCGGAUGAUGACGUAAGUCCAAAGAUUUAUCGCCUGAGGAUGAGCCCGCGUAGGAUUAGCUAGUUGGUGUGGUAAAGGCGCACCAAGGCGACGAUCCUUAGCUGGUCUGAGAGGAUGAUCAGCCACACUGGGACUGAGACACGGCCCAGACUCCUACGGGAGGCAGCAGUGGGGAAUAUUGGACAAUGGGCGCAAGCCUGAUCCAGCAAUGCCGCGUGAGUGAUGAAGGCCUUAGGGUUGUAAAGCUCUUUUACCCGUGAUGAUAAUGACAGUAGCGGGAGAAUAAGCCCCGGCUAACUCCGUG
Molecule: ribosomal RNA, 433 nt
Filed under: uncultured bacterium
Lineage: Bacteria
Description: partial 16S ribosomal RNA
Rfam family: Bacterial small subunit ribosomal RNA
Source: RNAcentral